UGCCAGCCGCCGCGGUAAGACGGGGGGUGCAAACGUUGUUCGGAAUUAUUGGGCAUAAAGCGCACGUAGGCGGUCCGUUAAGUCAGUUGUGAAAUCCCUCGGCUCAACCGAGGAAUUGCAGUUGAUACUGGCGGACUUGAGGACGGUAGGGGUGAGUGGAACUCCAGGUGGAGCGGUGAAAUGCGUAGAGAUCUGAAGGAACAUCAGUGGCGAAGGCGACCUCCUGGACUGAUAUUGACGCUGAGGUGCGAAAGCGUGGGGAGCAAACAGGAUUAGAUA
This 279-nucleotide ribosomal RNA is filed under the name uncultured bacterium. RNAcentral's name for it is "partial 16S ribosomal RNA". It matches the Rfam family "Bacterial small subunit ribosomal RNA", at positions 506 to 784 of the family's 1533-position model. The record is from RNAcentral.